RNAcentral lists this ribosomal RNA (1442 nucleotides) under uncultured organism. Its description in RNAcentral is "partial small subunit ribosomal RNA". It matches the Rfam family "Bacterial small subunit ribosomal RNA". The record is from RNAcentral.
CUUGACGAACGCUGGCGGCGUGCUUAACACAUGCAAGUCGAACGGAAAGGCCCUGCUUUUGUGGGGUGCUCGAGUGGCGAACGGGUGAGUAACACGUGAGUAACCUGCCCUUGACUUUGGGAUAACUUCAGGAAACUGGGGCUAAUACCGGAUAGGAGCUCCUGCUGCAUGGUGGGGGUUGGAAAGUUUCGGCGGUUGGGGAUGGACUCGCGGCUUAUCAGCUUGUUGGUGGGGUAGUGGCUUACCAAGGCUUUGACGGGUAGCCGGCCUGAGAGGGUGACCGGCCACAUUGGGACUGAGAUACGGCCCAGACUCCUACGGGAGGCAGCAGUGGGGAAUAUUGCACAAUGGGCGGAAGCCUGAUGCAGCAACGCCGCGUGCGGGAUGACGGCCUUCGGGUUGUAAACCGCUUUCGCCUGUGACGAAGCGUGAGUGACGGUAAUGGGUAAAGAAGCACCGGCUAACUACGUGCCAGCAGCCGCGGUGAUACGUAGGGUGCGAGCGUUGUCCGGAUUUAUUGGGCGUAAAGGGCUCGUAGGUGGUUGAUCGCGUCGGAAGUGUAAUCUUGGGGCUUAACCCUGAGCGUGCUUUCGAUACGGGUUGACUUGAGGAAGGUAGGGGAGAAUGGAAUUCCUGGUGGAGCGGUGGAAUGCGCAGAUAUCAGGAGGAACACCAGUGGCGAAGGCGGUUCUCUGGGCCUUUCCUGACGCUGAGGAGCGAAAGCGUGGGGAGCGAACAGGCUUAGAUACCCUGGUAGUCCACGCUGUAAACGGUGGGUACUAGGUGUGGGGUCCAUUCCACGGGUUCCGUGCCGUAGCUAACGCUUUAAGUACCCCGCCUGGGGAGUACGGCCGCAAGGCUAAAACUCAAAGGAAUUGACGGGGCCCCGCACAAGCGGCGGAGCAUGCGGAUUAAUUCGAUGCAACGCGUAGAACCUUACCUGGGUUUGACAUGGAUCGGGAGUGCUCAGAGAUGGGUGUGCCUCUUUUGGGGUCGGUUCACAGGUGGUGCAUGGCUGUCGUCAGCUCGUGUCGUGAGAUGUUGGGUUAAGUCCCGCAACGAGCGCAACCCUUGUUCACUGUUGCCAGCACGUUAUGGUGGGGACUCAGUGGAGACCGCCGGGGUCAACUCGGAGGAAGGUGGGGAUGACGUCAAGUCAUCAUGCCCCUUAUGUCCAGGGCUUCACGCAUGCUACAAUGGCUGGUACAGAGAGUGGCGAGCCUGUGAGGGUGAGCGAAUCUCGGAAAGCCGGUCUCAGUUCGGAUUGGGGUCUGCAACUCGACCUCAUGAAGUCGGAGUCGCUAGUAAUCGCAGAUCAGCAACGCUGCGGUGAAUACGUUCCCGGGGCUUGUACACACCGCCCGUCAAGUCAUGAAAGUUGGUAACACCCGAAGCCGGUGGCCUAACCGUUGUGGGGGAGCCGUCGAAGGUGGGACUGGUGA